Molecule: long non-coding RNA, 2704 nt
Organism: Helianthus annuus (common sunflower)
Lineage: Eukaryota; Viridiplantae; Streptophyta; Magnoliopsida; Asterales; Asteraceae
Exons: 4
Source: RefSeq, a predicted model, not a curated record
UUUGAAACAUAACCGAACAAUAGUGAAAUAAUGGUAACGGCGUUUGAGUCAGAGAUACAUAUAGAAGACAGAAUGCGACGCCACCUGCCAUCGAGGUGGACCACCCCUGCUCAACUUUCUUUGCUGUUCAUGGGUUCUCCGGUGUGCGACCGACUAUGACGAUGGUGACAAGACGGAGUGGCGGUUUCCGGCCGGCCACUUGGUCACGGUGGCGCAACUAUGGUGGGUUAUGGCGGUGGUUUGGUGACGAGAGGUUGUGGGGUGCGGCUAGAGUGAUGGUCAUUGGGUCCGAGCCGAAGGGGGGCGGCAGGUGCAGCGACGAUGGUGAGGAAGGGGUUGAUGAAGGGGUGGACUUGGGUGGUGGCUCACGACGGAUUAGGGUUCCGGAGGUGCCACCGGCGCCGCGAGUCCAGCAAGAUUCAAGAAGCAAAAACUCAUCUCCUAUGGGCUCCAAGCGACCGAGGCUUUGCUCCAAGCGACACUCGAGAAUGACGGAUUCAGGCGGCGAUGGUGAAUAGUGUUCCAGACGGCAGUGGUUUCGACAGAGGUGCUUUCCUAUGACGAGGAAGACGAUGAAGAUGACCGAGAGCCGAGAACCACGAAAAGUUGGGAGAUUGGGUGAACCAGUACAACAACACCAUUGUUUGUCGCUGCUUUAGCCUCUAUAUUGUCCACUUUUUCAUCUGGAGCACCAAGACAAUUGUUCAAGCCUUUAAACCUGAUCUAUUCAGGUGAAAGUGGAGAAUAAGAACUGGAAAGUUGAUGCUGAAAGUAGAACCAUUGAUUUGGAACUCACAACUCUAUCAAACACCCAUCAUGUGGAGCUGAACCCCAGUGAUGCAGGGUUUCAAGACCGGUACAUUGCUCAAGAAAUCAUCAAAGAGAUGGCGAAAAACAGACCAAUUGACACCAAAGGAAAGAAGGGUUUCAAAGGUUAGCUUAAAAAUAUUACAAAUUUUAUUUUAAAUUAAUUUAAGCUGGGUAAAAGCGCUAAAACCUCCGCCGCAUCGCGACGGGUUGCACAUCUAGUUAUUAUUAUUAUUAUUAUUAUUAUUAUUAUUAUUAUUGUUAUUGUUAUUGUUAUUGUUAUUAUUAUUAUUUAUUAUUUAUUAUUAUUAUUAUUAUUAUUAUUAUUAUUUUAUUAUUAUAUUAUAUUUUAUAUUUUAUUAAUAAACCAAAUGAUAUGAAUAGUGUUUUUAAUAUAUUAUAAUAAUAUUAUUUUUAAUACCUAUAUAAUAAUAUUAUUUUUAAUACCUAUAAUAUUCUAAUAUUAUAAAAAUAUUAAUUAUUUCUUCACUUCUUAAGCUAGAUAGAUUUUGUGUCAACCGAUACUGGUAUCGAAAAUACAUGUACGGCCCGAUUCGUUAUCAGCAUAUGAAGGUAAAAACCGGUACCAGUCUUGUACAGUUGCACCAGCCUGGUACAGUUAUCGGUACAUAAAGGUAAAAAGCGGCACCAGCCUGGUACAGAAAACGCCAAAAGUCGGUACCGAAAUGAUUUUGAGAAUCUUUUAGUUCGGGAAUUCGGUACUGCUACCCGGUACCAUUUGCUCAUAUCUCAUCACGGUUACCGUACGAACAACAACGGUAUCGUGCAACUUUUUUAGUUGAUUUUCUUCAACUUUUAAUGAUUUCUUUUUUGUUUUUUAGUUUCAGGGGUAGGGAUGUGGUCGGUGCCAACCGAUACCAAUACCGAAAAUACCGGUUACGGUACCGGUAUAUGAAGGUAAAAACCGGUAGGCGCCAAAAGUCGGUACCGAAUUUAUACUUAAGAUAUUUCGGUUCAGGAAAUUCGGUACCGGUACCCAUGUACCAUUUGCUUAUCUCUGACCACGGGUUUUAUACGAACAACAUCAUUACCAAACAACUUUUUUGGUUGAUUUUCUUUGGGUUAUCUUUUAGUGUUGUUUCCUGUAUUUUCUUUUUAUUCUUGUCAGCGAUUCCGUGCGCGACACCCUCGUAGUGAUUUUAAAAUACAUGUAAACACGGACUAAAUAACAAAAGAAGUUCGUCGCAACGCGACGAUUGUGGAAAAACCUAGUUUCUUUUAUUGUUUAAGUAGUUUUUUAUUGUUUAAUUAAAUGAUUUUUAAAAUGUAAAUUCUAUAUUUUUAUUAUGUUAAAUUUAACAUUUUAGUUAUUUAUGGUAUGUUUUAUUAUAUGAUGUUUUACAAAGUUUUGAAAUACGUCGUUUUUUUUCUACGGAAGCUUCUAUGUAGGGAUGAGUAAAUGGUACCUGGUACCGUACUGAACCGAUACCGAACCAGUAUCGGUACCGAAUUUAUCGAACCGGGUACAUUUUCAGUACCGACUUUUGACAUUCUCGGUACUGGUCUGGUACGGUACCGGUUUUUACCCUCAAAUAUCGGUACCGUACCGGUACCGGUACAUCGUACCGGUACCGAACCGUACCGGGUAUAUUCGAUACCGAUACCUACUUUUAAGGAUUUUCGAUAUCGGUAUUUUCGGUUCCAGUACCGGUUCAUUACCGGUCGAUAUCGAGCUCAUCCCUACUUCUAUGUAUAGAAUAAUAAUAAAUAAUGACUAAACCACCAUUUAUGCUAUAUGCUAGAAACCAAAGUCAGUAGAGAAUUCUCCUUCCGGUUUUGGUCCUUCAAUUUUUUGGUUUCGCAAAUUUGGUCUUUGUGUACAAAUUUAUUUGGCUUUAUAAUAUUUGUAUUAACUCUAGAAAAUACUUUUACACCC